AGAGUUUGAUCCUGGCUCAGAGCGAACGCUGGCGGCAGGCCUAACACAUGCAAGUCGAACGAACUCUUCGGAGUUAGUGGCGGACGGGUGAGUAACACGUGGGAACGUGCCUUUAGGUUCGGAAUAACUCAGGGAAACUUGUGCUAAUACCGAAUGUGCCCUUCGGGGGAAAGAUUUAUCGCCUUUAGAGCGGCCCGCGUCUGAUUAGCUAGUUGGUGAGGUAAAGGCUCACCAAGGCGACGAUCAGUAGCUGGUCUGAGAGGAUGAUCAGCCACAUUGGGACUGAGACACGGCCCAAACUCCUGCGGGAGGCAGCAGUGGGGAAUCUUGCGCAAUGGGCGAAAGCCUGACGCAGCCAUGCCGCGUGAAUGAUGAAGGUCUUAGGAUUGUAAAAUU
This 396-nucleotide ribosomal RNA is filed under the name uncultured bacterium. Its description in RNAcentral is "bacterial SSU rRNA". It matches the Rfam family "Bacterial small subunit ribosomal RNA", at positions 8 to 432 of the family's 1533-position model. The record is from RNAcentral.